UGUCUCAUGGAUUCGUGGUAUAGC
This 24-nucleotide non-coding RNA is filed under the name Arabidopsis thaliana (thale cress). Lineage: Eukaryota; Viridiplantae; Streptophyta; Magnoliopsida; Brassicales; Brassicaceae. The record is from RNAcentral.